CCUACGGGAGGCAGCAGUGGGGAAUUUUGGACAAUGGGCGCAAGCCUGAUCCAGCAAUGCCGCGUGCAGGAUGAAGGCCUUCGGGUUGUAAACUGCUUUUGUACGGAACGAAACGGUGAGCUCUAAUACAGUUUGCUAAUGACGGUACCGUAAGAAUAAGCACCGGCUAACUACGUGCCAGCAGCCGCGGUAAUACGUAGGGUGCGAGCGUUAAUCGGAAUUACUGGGCGUAAAGCGUGCGCAGGCGGUGAUGUAAGACAGAUGUGAAAUGCCCGGGCUCAACCUGGGACCUGCAUUUGUGACUGCAUCGCUAGAGUACGGUAGAGGGGGAUGGAAUUCCGCGUGUAGCAGUGAAAUGCGUAGAUAUGCGGAGGAACACCGAUGGCGAAGGCAAUCCCCUGGACCUGUACUGGCGCUCAUGCACGAAAGCGUGGGGAGCAAACAGGAUUAGAUACCCUGGUAGUCCACGCCCUAAACGAUGUCAACUGGUUGUUGGGUCUUCACUGACUCAGUAACGAAGCUAACGCGUGAAGUUGACCGCCUGGGGAAGUCGGCCGCAGGUUGAAACUCAAAGGAUUGGAGNGNGNGAGNGCGAGGCGACACGAGGGAGAGG
RNAcentral lists this ribosomal RNA (613 nucleotides) under uncultured bacterium. Its description in RNAcentral is "bacterial SSU rRNA". It matches the Rfam family "Bacterial small subunit ribosomal RNA", at positions 338 to 950 of the family's 1533-position model. The record is from RNAcentral.